UACGUAGGGUCCGAGCGUUGUCCGGAAUUACUGGGCGUAAAGAGCUCGUAGGUGGUUUGUCGCGUUGUUCGUGAAAACUCACAGCUCAACUGUGGGCGUGCGGGCGAUACGGGCAGACUAGAGUACUGCAGGGGAGACUGGAAUUCCUGGUGUAGCGGUGAAAUGCGCAGAUAUCAGGAGGAACACCGGUGGCGAAGGCGGGUCUCUGGGCCGAUACUGACGCUGAGGAGCGAAAGCGUGGGGGAGCGAACAGG
This 254-nucleotide ribosomal RNA is filed under the name uncultured bacterium. RNAcentral describes it as "partial 16S ribosomal RNA". It matches the Rfam family "Bacterial small subunit ribosomal RNA", at positions 524 to 776 of the family's 1533-position model. The record is from RNAcentral.